Molecule: RNA transcript, 4923 nt
Organism: Hemicordylus capensis (graceful crag lizard)
Lineage: Eukaryota; Metazoa; Chordata; Lepidosauria; Squamata; Cordylidae
Exons: 3
Source: RefSeq, a predicted model, not a curated record
AUGCGGCAGGCUCGGACAGAUUCUGGUCGCCCUGAGCCAUGCUGGCGGCGGGGCGCCCCACUCCCUUCUCCCCUCUCCUCGGCUGACAACGAGACAGUGUGCAACACACAACUACCUAGGAGUCUAGGAAACAAGCGCUGCAUUCGGGUUAGAAACAAGGAUUACCUUCUAAAACAAGUUCAGACACCAGCAGAGAGACUCACCGUUCUCCUGAAAGCCCGGCUUGCUUCUCUGAGUAGUCAGCUGAGUGCUGCACCUGAUGCAUAUCCUGUAUCCCUUGCCCCAGAGGAGGAGGAGGAGGAGGAGGAGGAGAGCCCUGAAAGGAUGAUCCUCCUCCUCCUCCUCCCUGAAGGGACCAUCCUGCAGGAACUUAGCAGCGCUUGCUGCACCCCAGAACUCUCUUCCCUCCCUCCCUCCCUCCCUGAGCAUCCCACGAAGGGGUUCCCAGAGGCAGGUCUCUCCAUCAAGGGGGCCUCCUUAGGACCAGGCGGAAGGAGCGGGGCAGAGGCACCUCUGGGGAAACCAGAAGAGGCCAGCCUCAGAGAGCCACCUGAUCCUCCAAAGAAUCCGUUGGGCAACCCAGCUGCCGCCGCCUGGAGCCACAGAGACCUGCCACAUGAUCAAGAAGGGAGAGGCCAGGAAGUGGGUUGGCUUCCUGGCCAGAAGGAGGGCAUAAGAAGCCAGCUGGGCUCAGUCCGCCUCUCUGGCUGCUGCAGAGGGAGAGCAUCAGCGGAGCAGGGAGAGGAGCAGGAAGGAAGGAAGAGCCAGUAUGGGAGACCAAGCCACAAACUCACACUUACUACAACAACAGUGAACAUUGAUCUACUGUUUUCCCAUCUAAAUUCUCAAAGUGGUUUUCACAGAAAAAUAAAAGGGUGGAUCGAGGCUUCUCUGUCUCCAAAGGGCUCACACUCUAAAAAGAAAAAGGUGGGCGGCACCAGCAACCACCACUGGACAGAUGCUGUGCUGGGCCUUCUCUUCAAAGGCACAUGGAGCAGGAGAGGGGCCUUUUCUCUAACGUGGACCCACUAAAACAGGUACAGUUUUUUAACUUUAAUUCUCAGUUGGAAGCUGGGCGUGUGGGGCCCUCGAAAAUGUGGGCCUUUGGCAAAUGCUACAUGUGCUACUAUGUUCCUCCGCCAGAGCAGGGAGGCUUCGGAAGCCGCGUCUCCUGGUGCCAAGUCACUUCGGUUGGGGGAAGUCCCGAUACCACCGGCUCUGGGGGAGGAAUCUGCGGAAGCCGACCAGCAGCCGCUUGGCCUGCAGAAGCUUCCAGAAAAGGAAACCUUUGAUUUCAACAAAAGGCUCCAGAGACUUGCGUUUGCAUCCAUUGAUGAGAGAGGACUCCUUUGCCCAUCCCAAUUUAGGCCCUCAAAUUGGGGCUGAAUUGGCCUUCAGGGCUGGGGCUGCCAUCUGGGACCCCAAGUUCGAGCACUCCUGCCGUACAGCAAAACCCUUCUCCUGCCACUCUGUGGCCUUAAGCGGGGGUCCCAACCGUGGUGUGAAGGCCAUCCCGACAGGGUAGGAUGGUGAGCCCCCUUUUUUUGACCACAGUGUGCCCCAGACAGCUAGGCCGUGGGGCGUUUGGGGGUGAGACACACCAAAAGGGGGGUUAUUUUAGCAAAGGGGUAAGGAUAUGGGGAGCGGGGAGAGGUUAGACCACCACACCUUAAACCAAAUAUAAGCAAGCUAACUCGCCUGUUUGAGCAGAGAUUGCAUGUUGAGUCUCCAAGUUCCCCAGAAAGAUCCCUCAUAAAAUUACCAAUAGCUAGAUAAAGACCACAAUAAGAGAGAAAAUACUGUAUUGUGAAAUAUAUACAAUAUAACUCAAUUAGAUAUACAUAAUAUAGUGGUAUAUACCAUCCACAGAUUCCACAAUAGAAAUAAUCAUAAAGUCCACGGACUGUAUCUCAUGAACAGAGCACAUGAAGUCUAGAACCAAGUUGCUCGUAAAGCUGUCCACAUCCACUACGAUGACUCAGUGAACCUCGUUUCAAAAGAACUCUUUAUCAAGUGAUGGACUUAAAUCAAUUGUAUUCACACUUCUUGAUAUUAAUGGACUGGCGGUUUUGUUAAUUGUGGUAGAACCCUUCCUGUUUCAGUAAGAUUUGAGCUGAAGAAACACUCAGGAUUCUGCUACCUCUUCUGAUUAUUUCACAAGAAUGCCUUUGUAUAGAUAGAUGCAAAGCAAAUGUGAAUACACUGAUUUAAAUCCAUCAUCGCCUUCCCAUCUUGAAGAGUUUAUUUGGCAGAAAGGCAUAUUUCCCUAUUAUCUACAGAUACCAAAUUCCAUACACAAUCCUGCCACUUCAAUGAGCUGAAUGCACUAAUUUUUUGCACUGGAAUAUCCUGGGUGGAUUUAAAAUAAUAAUUCUGAUGUUUCAUUUCUUGAACUUUCCUACAAGUGUAAUCUAGGCAGAAUUACUUCUCCCAGUCAUUGAUGGGCUUCCCCUCCAAGUAAAAUAUUUUAAAAACCACAGAGGACCCAGCUCAAACAAAACAACAUUUUAUUUCCAAUUCAGUCUGCUGCAGAUAAAAUCAUACAUUACAAAUAUGUGCUUUAAAAGCACACAUGGUAGCAACUUCAGGAUACACAGGCCAACAAGAGAGUUCUUUACGCCCACGCAGGCCCCAAUCCAACACAGUUAAGCAGGCAAAAGCCUGACCAUUUCAAUGGUUUGAGUUUUUAUUGAAUUCUGUGCCAGAUUCUGCAGAGAGGGAGACACCGUUUAGAUCCGUGGGUUAAUUAAAAGCAUUGUGGGGAAGGAGAUCUGAUCUAACAUGGUAGUGCCACUUUUAAUCAUCAAAAAAGUUGCACUGUUGCAUCUAAGGGAGCAGCUCAGCUUUCUGGUAACUCAUUUCCAUCUCUUUGGAAGAGGGGAAAAUGGUCUCUAACAGUGUCUUGUCCAGCAGCUGAAUUUCCAGUCACUUCCCUCCCUUUCCUUCUCUCGUCUGCUCUGUAUCACGGGAUGUUCGCAGAGCCCCAAAAGGCUCUUUAGCAACCUGGUGGCCCAAAGAUCAGUCAAAUAUUCCAUAUCCCAGCAGCUCUCUUGUGGUAUUGAUGAAGCCACCAUCUGGGCAUUAAGGUUAAAAGGAGGUCCUUCGACAGAACGAUGCUAUAUGGGUUGGUUUAUCUUAAGGCUUGGGUUCCAAAACAAAUUGUACCGACAAACUACUUUUUAAAAAAACAUUUUAAAAUCACACACUUUUUCAUGAAGAAUAUUUACAACAGUCUGGGAGAAGGUGGAGGAAGAGGCAGAACUUGAACACUGGUGUCAAGGAAGUACCAGGGCAGAGAUCAAACCAAGAAGGAAGAUGUCUGUUUAAAUUCACCCUAGAAAACAGGGAGAGAGAGAGAGAGAAAGAGACUCAGUUCCAGAGAACAAGCAAAAGCUGGCCUUGUGGGAGUAGAGCAUGAAUGGCCCCCUCUGCUAAGCAGGGUCUGUCCUGGUUGGCAUUUGGAUGGACAACAACCUGGGGGCAGGGUAAGACGGCAAAACUGUCCGUCCCUAUGAGCCAAGCCGAAAUUUCUGGAUCCCUGCCCAAGGAGCCGCUUCCAAAAUGCCUCGCCACCCACUCACCGCUCCAAUCAACACCCCGAGGACAUGCUGGAAACCACGGGAGAUGUAAGCCCAGCGUCACUCCCAGCCCACGACUGCCACUGGCCACCCACAACAUCGUCGUCACACCCAACCCGGAUGCAAAGUUGUCACGACACUUUUCUGGGGGAAAGAAGAGGGAACGUCCUUGCUGGCUCCCUUCCUGUUCUACUUACGUCACUCCGGUUGGAAGGCUGGCUGUAAAUGACCUUCUUACUGCUGGUGCUAAACGGGAGGCGGAAAGAGACAGGGAAGUUAAAAGCCACAUUAUUCCAGGGAGGGAGGGAGAGAGAGAGAGAGAGAAAGAGAGAAAAGCCGUGUUCCCUCUAACGGGGAUUCCCAGAUGUUGUUGACUACAACUCCCAUAAUCCCCAGCCAAAGGCCAUUGCAACUGGGGAUGUUGGGAGUUGUAGUGAACAACAUCUGGGAAUCCCAGAUCUUCCCCUCAGGGGAUGGAGCUGCUCUGGGGAGAGCAGAAGGUCCCAAGUCCCCUCCCUGGCAGCAUCUCCAAGAGAGGGCUGAAAGAGAAAGACCCCUGCCUGCAACCUUGGAGAAGCUGCUGCCAGUCUGUGAAGACGAUACAGAGCUAGAUAGACCAAUGGUCUGACUCAGUAUGUGGCAGCUUCCUAUGUUCCUGCUAGAGGGAACAGUGGUGGAGGGUUCCUGGGGCGCCUCCCACCACCCUCUGGGAUUGGAAGAUUUCACUGGAGUCCCAGAUGGGUGCCGGCCCCAUACUCCUUCAGAGAUGCAUUUGGCAAGAAAGAAGGUGUUCAGUCUAGAAGAGAGGAUAACAUCAGCCCCAGAGCGCCUAAGCAGAGCCCGAAUAUAGCAGGGAUCAUUCUUUUCUCUCUCUCUCUCUCUCUCUCUCCAUCUCUGAAGCACUCACAGUGCUGUAAAGAUGUAACACAUAACCCUGCACCCCAAAAUCAAACCUUACAGAUCUAGAUUUGAUAUUACAAUUAUAUUUAUCAUUGUACCUUAUAGAUAUAAAACUAUUAUAUAUCGUCCUGUCCUUCAGGAGAGCCCUUAAAACCUAUCUGUUUGGCCUGGCCUUCCAGGGUUUUAAAUGAUUUAAAAAUUGUUCUAAAAUUGUUUUAAAGGGUUGCCCUGGUUCUCCACAGGUUUUUUAGCUGUUGAAUUCUUGAAUGGGUUUUAUUCUGUUCUUAUAGUUUUGAUUUUAACUGUUCACUGGUUUUGUUUUUACCUUGUUGAAAACCACCCUGAGCCACUUUGGAAGGGCAGUAUAUAAAUCGAAAGAUAAAACAAUCGGUAUAUAAAUCGAAAGAUAAAACAAAAAUAAAAUAAUAAAAAUAAAUAUUGCUCC